UACGUAGGGGGCUAGCGUUGUCCGGAAUCAUUGGGCGUAAAGCGCGUGUAGGCGGCCCGGUAAGUCCGCUGUGAAAGUCGGGGGCUCAACCCUCGAAUGCCGGUGGAUACUGUCGGGCUAGAGUACGGAAGAGGCGAGUGGAAUUCCUGGUGUAGCGGUGAAAUGCGCAGAUAUCAGGAGGAACACCGAUGGCGAAGGCAGUUCUCUGGGCCGUAACUGACGCUGAGGAGCGAAAGCGUGGGGAGCGAACAGG
RNAcentral lists this ribosomal RNA (253 nucleotides) under uncultured bacterium. RNAcentral's name for it is "partial 16S ribosomal RNA". It matches the Rfam family "Bacterial small subunit ribosomal RNA", at positions 524 to 776 of the family's 1533-position model. The record is from RNAcentral.